UACGAAGGGUGCAAGCGUUACUCGGAAUUACUGGGCGUAAAGCGUGCGUAGGUGGUUUGUUAAGUCUGAUGUGAAAGCCCCGGGCUCAACCUGGGAAUGGCGAUGGAUACUGGCGAGCUAGAGUACGGUAGAGGAGAGUGGAAUUCCCGGUGUAGCAGUGAAAUGCGUAGAGAUCAUGAGGAAGACCAGUGGCGAAGGCGGGUCUCUGGACAGUUCCUGACACUGGGACACGAAGGCCAGGGGAGCAAACGGG
RNAcentral lists this ribosomal RNA (253 nucleotides) under uncultured bacterium. RNAcentral describes it as "partial 16S ribosomal RNA". It matches the Rfam family "Bacterial small subunit ribosomal RNA", at positions 524 to 776 of the family's 1533-position model. The record is from RNAcentral.